UACGGGGGGGGCAAGCGUUGUUCGGAAUUACUGGGCGUAAAGGGCUCGUAGGUGGCCAACUAAGUCAGACGUGAAAUCCCCAGGCUCAACUUGGGAACUGCGUCUGAUACUGGAUGGCUUGAAUUCGGGAGAGGGAUGCAGAAUUCCAGGUGUAGCGGUGAAAUGCGUAGAUAUCUGGAGGAAUACCGGUGGCGAAGGCGGCAUCCUGGACCGAGAUUGGCACUGAUGAGCGAAAGCCAGGGGAGCAAACGGG
This 253-nucleotide ribosomal RNA is filed under the name uncultured bacterium. RNAcentral's name for it is "partial 16S ribosomal RNA". It matches the Rfam family "Bacterial small subunit ribosomal RNA", at positions 524 to 776 of the family's 1533-position model. The record is from RNAcentral.